GACGAACGCUGGCGGCGUGCUUAACACAUGCAAGUCGAACGGAAAGGCCCUGCUUUUGUGGGGUGCUCGAGUGGCGAACGGGUGAGUAACACGUGAGUAACCUGCCCUUGACUUUGGGAUAACUUCAGGAAACUGGGGCUAAUACCGGAUAGGAGCUCCUGCUGCAUGGUGGGGGUUGGAAAGUUUCGGCGGUUGGGGAUGGACUCGCGGCUUAUCAGCUUGUUGGUGGGGUAGUGGCUUACCAAGGCUUUGACGGGUAGCCGGCCUGGGAGGGUGACCGGCCAAAUUGGAACGGAGAUACGACCCAGACUCCUACGGGAGGCAGCAGUGGGGAAUAUUGCACAAUGGGCGGAAGCCUGAUGCAGCAACGCCGCGUGCGGGAUGACGGCCUUCGGGUUGUAAACCGCUUUCGCCUGUGACGAAGCGUGAGUGACGGUAAGGGGGAAAGAAGCACCGGCUAACUACGU
Molecule: ribosomal RNA, 467 nt
Filed under: uncultured bacterium
Lineage: Bacteria
Description: partial 16S ribosomal RNA
Rfam family: Bacterial small subunit ribosomal RNA
Source: RNAcentral